GACUCCAUAGCUCAGCUGGAUAGAGCAUCCGCCUUCUAAGCGGACGGUCGUAGGUUCGAAUCCUACUGGAGUCGCCA
This 77-nucleotide transfer RNA is filed under the name Caulobacter sp. RNAcentral describes it as "tRNA-Arg". It matches the Rfam family "tRNA". Rfam says of the family: Transfer RNA (tRNA) molecules are approximately 80 nucleotides in length. Their secondary structure includes four short double-helical elements and three loops (D, anti-codon, and T loops). The record is from RNAcentral. Lineage: Bacteria; Pseudomonadati; Pseudomonadota; Alphaproteobacteria; Caulobacterales; Caulobacteraceae. RNAcentral also lists the same sequence under 5 other names.